Molecule: ribosomal RNA, 253 nt
Filed under: uncultured bacterium
Lineage: Bacteria
Description: partial 16S ribosomal RNA
Rfam family: Bacterial small subunit ribosomal RNA
Source: RNAcentral
UACGUAGGGUGCGAGCGUUAAUCGGAAUUACUGGGCGUAAAGCGUGCGCAGGCGGACGAAUAAGUCAGGGGUGAAAGCCUGGAGCUCAACUCCAGAACUGCCUUUGAAACUACAUCGCUAGAAUCAUGGAGAGGUUAGUGGAAUUCCGAGUGUAGAGGUGAAAUUCGUAGAUAUUCGGAAGAACACCAGUGGCGAAGGCGACUAACUGGACAUGUAUUGACGCUGAGGUGCGAAAGCGUGGGGAGCAAACAGG